This 406-nucleotide ribosomal RNA is filed under the name uncultured bacterium. RNAcentral describes it as "partial 16S ribosomal RNA". It matches the Rfam family "Bacterial small subunit ribosomal RNA", at positions 29 to 526 of the family's 1533-position model. The record is from RNAcentral.
AUUGAACGCUGGCGGCAGGCCUAACACAUGCAAGUCGAGCGAGCGGCGGACGGGUGAGUAAUGUCUGGGAAACUGCCUGAUGGAGGGGGAUAACUACUGGAAACGGUAGCUAAUACCGCAUCCCAUCAGAUGUGCCCCGAUGGGAUUAGCUCGUAGGGGGGGUAACGGCUCACCUAGGCGACGAUCCCUAGCUGGUCUGAGAGGCUGACCCGCCACACUGGAACGGAGACACGGUCCAGAAUCUGACGGGAGGCAGCAGGUGGGAAUAUUGCACAAUGGGCGCAAGCCUGAUGCAGCCAUGCCGCGGGUGUGAAAAAGGCCUUCGGGUUGUAAAGCACUUUCAGCGGGGAGGCGUUACCCGAAGAAGAAGCACCGGCUAACGCCGUGCCAGCAGCCGCGGUAAUAC